AGAGGGCUGAGGCAGACGGGGUUGUUGCAGGUCAGGAGGGGGAAGGGGGAGGGAGGAGAAGGCACAUGUGUUUUGCAGCCUUCCUUCCCCUCCCCUCCCCCCAGCACUCACCUGGGGGAGACGCCGAGGGAGCUUCUGGUCCGGUGGGAGACAGGAAUCUCUGCAGUGGACCUCACCUACCUGAGCAGCUGCUGGGGCUUCCAACGGCACCAAGGCCUAA
Long non-coding RNA from Gopherus evgoodei (Goodes thornscrub tortoise), 220 nucleotides. RefSeq lists it as uncharacterized. The transcript is spliced from 3 exons. The record is from RefSeq and is a predicted model, not a curated record. Lineage: Eukaryota; Metazoa; Chordata; Testudines; Testudinidae.